AACGAACGCUGGCGGCAGGCUUAACACAUGCAAGUCGAACGGUUGUAGCAAUACAGCAGUGGCAGACGGGUGAGUAACACGUGGGAACCUUCCUAGGGGUACGGAACAACUCAGGGAAACUUGAGCUAAUACCGUAUACGUCCGUGAGGAGAAAGAUUUAUCGCCCUUAGACGGGCCCGCGUAGGAUUAGGUAGUUGGUGGGGUAAUGGCCUACCAAGCCUACGAUCCUUAGCUGAUCUGAGAGGAUGAUCAGCCACACUGGGACUGAGACACGGCCCAGACUCCUACGGGAGGCAGCAGUGGGGAAUCUUGGACAAUGGGCGCAAGCCUGAUCCAGCCAUGCCGCGUGAGUGAAGAAGGCCUGGUUG
This 368-nucleotide ribosomal RNA is filed under the name uncultured bacterium. RNAcentral's name for it is "bacterial SSU rRNA". It matches the Rfam family "Bacterial small subunit ribosomal RNA", at positions 29 to 425 of the family's 1533-position model. The record is from RNAcentral.